Molecule: ribosomal RNA, 506 nt
Filed under: uncultured Glomus
Lineage: Eukaryota; Fungi; Glomeromycota; Glomeromycetes; Glomerales; Glomeraceae
Description: SSU rRNA
Rfam family: Eukaryotic small subunit ribosomal RNA
Source: RNAcentral
AGCAGCCGCGGUAAUUCCAGCUCCAAUAGCGUAUAUUAAAGUUGUUGUAGUUAAAAAGCUCGUAGUUGAAUUUCGGAAUCAAUAUGUCGGUCGUGCUUCGGUACGUACUGGUAUCAUUGGUUUCUCCUUUCUGACGAACCAUGAUGUCAUUAAUUUGGUGUUAUGGGGAGUUAGGACUGUUACUUUGAAAAAUUAGAGUGUUUAAAGCAGGCUUUAGCUUGAAUACAUUAGCAUGGAAUAAUGAAAUAGGACGUUCGAACCUAUUUUGUUGGUUUCUAGGAUCAACGUAAUGAUUAAUAGGGAUAGUUGGGGGCAUUAGUAUUCAAUUGUCAGAGGUGAAAUUCUUGGAUUUAUUGAAGACUAACUACUGCGAAAGCAUUUGCCAAGGAUGUCUUCAUUAAUCAAGAACGAAAGUUAGGGGAUCGAAGACGAUCAGAUACCGUCGUAGUCUUAACCAUAAACUAUGCCGACUAGGGAUCGGAUGAUGUUAAUUUUUAAUGACUCAU